Molecule: small RNA, 1373 nt
Filed under: Histoplasma ohiense
Lineage: Eukaryota; Fungi; Ascomycota; Eurotiomycetes; Onygenales; Ajellomycetaceae
Description: hypothetical lncRNA
Source: RNAcentral
UGACCAGGGAGGCGUACUCGGAGAAACGGGGGAACGGAAAGGAUAACAAUGAGCAUCAAUACACUCACCAUUUCUAAAUGGGAAACAGACCUAAUUUCUAACAUAUUCAAAACUCUCCGCCCCCCGUGCUUCCAAAUUGUUCUAUUAACAGCCAAGAGAGCGUGAUGAUGUGGAACCGCCCGCGAUUACUUCAAAGGAAUUACAUGCGCGUGCCGGUGAUGAUGCUCAGAAGAUGUAGAGGAACCAUUUGGUUAGGAUGAGUUUUUUCCUUUCCUUUCCUUUCCUUUUCUUUUCUUUUCAAAAGAUCUUGCACACAGUGCUGCGACGAAGAUGCUGGCAGAGAGAACCCCAAGGUAGGUAAGGGUAGCCUUGCAUGUCUGAGAUGCUUUGCCGCCCAGGUCGACGAAUCAGUUUUCCCUGUUAGAUUUUUACUCGGUGCAUUCUUUGUUAUUGUUAUUUGUCUUUAUUUCCUUCUUUUCGAUUUCUCAACAUGCUCAGCCGUUUAACCCUCUUUGUCAGUUGUAAAAGGCGUUGCAUCAAGUCGAACGACCCACAAGCAACCAAGGAAAUCCGCCCAAGCCAGUGUUUAACAUGCGGUACUCUCGCAGUCCAGAGGGAAUCAUCCUGCGUAAUUAUAUUGCUGCCCGAGGCGAAGCCCUAAGAUUAUUCUAAAAAAUUAUACUACCGCGGUAAAUAUUUUCGGAAAUAUACUAAACUUAGUCUUCCAUAUAUUUUCAAAGUAUAUAUUUUGUUGAUAUACAGAGGCUAUAAGAUAAUGGUUUAUCUGACACAACAGAGAGAGAUCAAAUAAGAAAAAUAGGAAAGGAAGGAAGAGAGAGAAGGAGAACAAGAAGAUGGAAAAAGAUUAGGCACAAAAGUAGUGCAGGAAUCAAGGAAUGAAAAAAAUGCUUCUAUAGAAAAUAUAUAUUUCAAGUCUCCGUCUGAUUCUCUCGUCUGCAGGGGUAUCUUGUAUAUAAAUAAAAAUGACAACUCAAGCAAGAUGAUUAAGAAGAGGGCGAUAAUAGGCGAAAGUGAAACAAGGCUCCAUCUGAGCUUGUGCACUGGGCCUAGUGAAUAUAUAUGAAAGAAAAAAUAAAAUGAGCAGGGGAGAAAAAAUCAACUAAAAAAGUGUUGGACAGAGAAUGAACGAGCGAUGCGAGUGGUCAUAACCAAAUGAGCGUUUCAAUCACUUUCCAAAAUGAACAGGACGCCGGAAGGAAAAAUGGAAAGCAGUCAAAGGUAGGAACUGGUCAGAUACUUACUUUCUUAGAUAUGUAUAUAUGGAUCAGUUGGAAUCAUUAAGGCGUCAGGAUUUUGAAACCGUAAUGGGGUAAUGAGCAAAAGAAGAAAUCAGAGGAAGAAGGAAACGGGGA